UAUGGCCAUACCACUCUGAGUGUGCCUGAUCUUAUCUGAUCUUGGAAGCUAAGCAGUGUUGGGCUCAGCUAGUACUUGGAUGUGAAGAUUUUGAUAGAAAUUGUAUUGAAUCCAUAU
This is a ribosomal RNA of Fukomys damarensis (Damara mole-rat), 117 nucleotides long. The record is from Ensembl. NCBI's taxonomy places the organism in Eukaryota, Metazoa, Chordata, Mammalia, Rodentia, Bathyergidae.